CAGUAGCCGCGGUAAUACGAAGGGUGCAAGCGUCACUCGGAAUUACUGGGCGUAAAGCGUGCGUAGGUGGUGGUUUAAGUCCGUUGUGAAAGCCCUGGGCUCAACCUGGGAAUUGCAGUGGAUACUGGGUCACUAGAGUGUGGUAGAGGAUAGUGGAAUUUCCGGUGUAGCAGUGAAAUGCGUAGAGAUCGGAAGGAACAUCUGUGGCGAAGGCGGCUAUCUGGGCCAACACUGACACUGAGGCACGAAAGCGUGGGGAGCAAACAGGAUUAGAUACCCCCGUAGUCCCUGUCUCUUAUAC
RNAcentral lists this ribosomal RNA (301 nucleotides) under uncultured bacterium. Its description in RNAcentral is "partial 16S ribosomal RNA". It matches the Rfam family "Bacterial small subunit ribosomal RNA", at positions 509 to 807 of the family's 1533-position model. The record is from RNAcentral.